UUGGUCCAAUAUCUCAAUUGGUGAAAUCAACAUGAUCAAAUCAAGUCAUGGCUAGAUUGAAAUCAUGGAUAAUCAAAUCUAAAGAUUCAUGGUCUGAUUAAGGUGGGUGCCAGUACGCUGUCUGACAAUCAUGGAUCAGGAUUCUUCGUUAGAAUCAGAUCAGGACUAUUGAAAGAAUUUUUUCAUUGAUAAAUCGAUCAAGAGAGAGAAAUUGAUCGAGAAAGAAAAAUGACUUUAGAGAGAGAAAAUUCUAGAGAGAGAAAAUUUUUAGAGAGAGAAAACUCAUCUUGGAUUCUUUAGGC
RNAcentral lists this long non-coding RNA (302 nucleotides) under Elaeis guineensis (African oil palm). Its description in RNAcentral is "long non-coding RNA (EGUI_LNC077639)". The record is from RNAcentral. Lineage: Eukaryota; Viridiplantae; Streptophyta; Magnoliopsida; Arecales; Arecaceae.